Molecule: unclassified non-coding RNA, 343 nt
Filed under: soil metagenome
Description: partial contains 5.8S ribosomal RNA, internal transcribed spacer 2, and large subunit ribosomal RNA
Rfam family: 5.8S ribosomal RNA (bases 1-120)
Source: RNAcentral
GAUGAAGAACGUAGCGAAAUGCGAUAAGUAAUGUGAAUUGCAGAAUUCAGUGAAUCAUCGAAUCUUUGAACGCACAUUGCGCCCGCUAGUAUUCUGGCGGGCAUGCCUGUCCGAGCGUCAUUUCAACCCUCAAGCCCCCGGGCUUGGUGUUGGGGAUCGGCGAGCCUCCGCGCCCGCCGUCCCCUAAAUCUAGUGGCGGUCUCGCUGUAGCUUCCUCUGCGUAGUAGCACACCUCGCACUGGGAAACAGCGCGGCCACGCCGUUAAACCCCUAACUUCUGAACGUUUGACCUCGGAUCAGGUAGGAAUACCCGCUGAACUUAAGCAUAUCAAUAAGCGGAGGA